UACGAAGGGGGCUAGCGUUGCUCGGAAUCACUGGGCGUAAAGCGCACGUAGGCGGACUCUUAAGUCGGUGGUGAAAUCCUGGAGCUCAACUCCAGAACUGCCUUCGAUACUGAGAGUCUUGAGUCCGGGAGAGGGUGAAGUGGAACUGCGAGUGUAGAGGUGAAAUUCGUAGAUAUUCGCAAGAACACCAGUGGCGAAGGCGGCUCACUGGCCCGGUACUGACGGCUGGAGGUUGCGAAAGCGUGGGGAGCAAACAGG
This 258-nucleotide ribosomal RNA is filed under the name uncultured bacterium. RNAcentral's name for it is "partial 16S ribosomal RNA". It matches the Rfam family "Bacterial small subunit ribosomal RNA", at positions 524 to 776 of the family's 1533-position model. The record is from RNAcentral.